Molecule: ribosomal RNA, 253 nt
Filed under: uncultured bacterium
Lineage: Bacteria
Description: partial 16S ribosomal RNA
Rfam family: Bacterial small subunit ribosomal RNA
Source: RNAcentral
UACGUAGGGUGCAAGCGUUAUCCGGAAUUAUUGGGCGUAAAGAGCUCGUAGGCGGUUUGUCGCGUCGUCCGUGAAAACCUGCAGCUCAACUGCAGGCUUGCGGUCGAUACGGGCAGGCUAGAGUUCGGUAGGGGAGACUGGAAUUCCUGGUGUAGCGGUGAAAUGCGCAGAUAUCAGGAGGAACACCGGUGGCGAAGGCGGGUCUCUGGGCAGUAACUGACGCUGAGGAGCGAAAGCGUGGGGAGCGAACAGG